GGGGGCGACAUGGCUUCGACGCCGGUGACAACCUCCUAGGUGCAUGCCGAGAGCGUGAUGUAUCUCGUAAAUCCAACAUCACGACUAAAUAGUCGCAAACGACGACACCUACGCUCAGGGCGCCCUGGCAGCUUAAACCUGCUAGCGGUUAGUCCGGCCCCAAAGCGAUGUGCCCAUUCAUCGCGGAGGGGAUACGAGCUAAAAAUGAUGGGAUCGCGGUUGGCGACGUCCUCUCGUCAAUCGCUAAACCUUCGAGGAAUCGCGUCGCUGGAUCCUGCCCGUCGGAGCCAGUGGCGUUAAAUGAAAAGACGGACCUAAGCAUGUAGAGCCGAAGAGCGAGUGCCGGCGGACGCGGGUUCGAUCCCCGCCGCCUCCACCA
Molecule: transfer-messenger RNA, 379 nt
Filed under: Halomonas sp. MCCC 1A17488
Lineage: Bacteria; Pseudomonadati; Pseudomonadota; Gammaproteobacteria; Oceanospirillales; Halomonadaceae
Also listed under: 2 other names
Rfam family: transfer-messenger RNA
About the family: Bacterial tmRNA, also known as 10Sa RNA or SsrA, is named for its dual tRNA and mRNA-like properties. Its role is to liberate the mRNA from a stalled ribosome.
Source: RNAcentral